CUCUGCCACGCAACAGUGACUGUGAAAUUAACUCGCAGCGCAUCAGGUAAUCUGCAUCAGGAGAAUAGAUGAUGGACCUGUACCUCUGAAAAUGAAGAUCUGGGGCUGAGAUACGACCUGGAAGUGUUUUUAGAAGAUUCACCCAAUUAGAAAAGGGAGUCAUAGACUGCGAUGGUGCUGUGGGAUCUCACUGAUGUCAGGAUAUUCAUCAGGAUGUAGAGCAGUAUGGCCAUCAGCAAUCGACCGAAGGGUAAACAAGUGCCUCUUUCUGACCAGCAGAUCGAUAACGUCAAUGAAAAGUAAAGUCAUUUCAGAGGUGGAACAACUUCAUGCAUUUUGAUAAAAGAUUUCAGGUAAGAAGGAAUUACUCUUAGUAUUUGCAUGUACUGCACUGUCAGUCACAAUA
Carassius auratus (goldfish) is the source of this 406-nucleotide long non-coding RNA. RefSeq lists it as uncharacterized. The transcript is spliced from 3 exons. NCBI's taxonomy places the organism in Eukaryota, Metazoa, Chordata, Actinopteri, Cypriniformes, Cyprinidae. The record is from RefSeq and is a predicted model, not a curated record.